Molecule: ribosomal RNA, 385 nt
Filed under: uncultured bacterium
Lineage: Bacteria
Description: bacterial SSU rRNA
Rfam family: Bacterial small subunit ribosomal RNA
Source: RNAcentral
AUUGAACGCUGGCGGCAGGCCUAACACAUGCAAGUCGAGCGGCAGCGGGAAGUAGCUUGCUACUUUGCCGGCGAGCGGCGGACGGGUGAGUAAUGUCUGGGAAACUGCCUGAUGGAGGGGGAUAACUACUGGAAACGGUAGCUAAUACCGCAUGACCUCGCAAGAGCAAAGUGGGGGACCUUCGGGCCUCACGCCAUCGGAUGUGCCCAGAUGGGAUUAGCUAGUAGGUGGGGUAAUGGCUCACCUAGGCGACGAUCCCUAGCUGGUCUGAGAGGAUGACCAGCCACACUGGAACUGAGACACGGUCCAGACUCCUACGGGAGGCAGCAGUGGGGAAUAUUGCACAAUGGGCGCAAGCCUGAUGCAGCCAUGCCGCGUGUGUGAA